This 257-nucleotide ribosomal RNA is filed under the name uncultured bacterium. RNAcentral's name for it is "partial small subunit ribosomal RNA". It matches the Rfam family "Bacterial small subunit ribosomal RNA", at positions 26 to 285 of the family's 1533-position model. The record is from RNAcentral.
AGGACGAACGCUGGCGGCGCGCUUAACACAUGCAAGUCGAGCGAGAACCUGGCCUUCGGGCCUGGGGAAAGCGGCGAACGGGUGAGUAACACGUGAGCAACCUGCCCCUGGCUCUGGGAUAGCCUCCGGAAACGGGGAUUAAUACCGGACAUGACUCCUGACCGCAUGGUUGGGGGUGGAAAGUUUUUCGGCCAGGGUGGGGCUCGCGGCCUAUCAGCUUGUUGGGGGGUGACGGCCCACCAAGGCGACGACGGGUA